CCUAGCUGCCAUCAUAAGCUCAUCUACACUUGUUGCUACCCAUCUAAUUAAAGCCAGCUUCUCUGAUCAACUCCUACAGCAAUGGAAGAACUUGUUAUAUGGAUUGAACAUGUAGAAGUAGGUGACAGAAGGGAGAAUUUAGUUGUCUGCCCUGCUCUUUCUAAUUCACAUAUAAUGCACAGUAAUAACAAGCACAGAAGGGAGAAACUUCAGUCCUGAAAAGAAGGGCUCUCAUUUCCACCCAAACAACGACUUGUUUGUCCCAAAUGAAAGAAAAGAUGUUGUCACCUCAACCGCUUGAGGGUUAUCAUGGCGUAGAUAAGGAAGGAAGACCUAUAUACAUUGAGAGAUUGGGAAAAAUUGAUCCCAACAAGCUCACGCAAGUGACAACUUUGGGUCGGUCUGUGAGAUACCAUGCUACUGAAUCCUUUGCCAUAAUUGAUUUUCUUUGGGAUGUACUAAAUGAUUGUUAAGUUCAGCAUAAAUAGCAUCUUUGGGAAAGAAUGUUGAUAACAUAAUUCUGAUUUUGUGAUUCAUAUCUUGUAAUUUUGUGUUUUGUAAUGUAAUUUGUAAAUACCAAAUAAUGUAAUAUAUAGUGAAUGACAAAUGAUAGUUAUAGUC
Long non-coding RNA from Juglans microcarpa x Juglans regia, 621 nucleotides. RefSeq lists it as uncharacterized. The record is from RefSeq and is a predicted model, not a curated record. The transcript has 3 exons. Lineage: Eukaryota; Viridiplantae; Streptophyta; Magnoliopsida; Fagales; Juglandaceae.